Molecule: ribosomal RNA, 455 nt
Filed under: uncultured bacterium
Lineage: Bacteria
Description: bacterial SSU rRNA
Rfam family: Bacterial small subunit ribosomal RNA
Source: RNAcentral
UACGGAAGGCAGCAGUGGGGAAUAUUGCACAAUGGGCGAAAGCCUGAUGCAGCUAUGCCGCGUGUAUGAAGAAGGCCUUAGGGUUGUAAAGUACUUUCAUCGGGGAGGAAAAAACAAAACUAAUAAUUUUAUUUCUUGACGUUACCCGAAAAAGAAGCACCGGCUAACUCCGUGCCAGCAGCCGCGGUAAUACGGAGGGUGCUAGCGUUAAUCAGAAUUACUGGGCGUAAAGAGCACGUAGGUUGGUUUUUUAAGUCAGAUGUGAAAUCCCUGGGCUUAACCUAGGAACUGCAUUUUGAAACUGAAAUACUAGAGUAUCGUAGAGGGAGGUAGAAUUCUAGGUGUAGCGGUGAAAUGCGUAGAUAUCUGGAGGAAUACCUGUGGCGAAAGCGGCCUCCUAAACGAAUACUGACACUGAGGUGCGAAAGCGUGGGGAGCAAACAGGGAUUGAAUCC